Molecule: ribosomal RNA, 433 nt
Filed under: uncultured bacterium
Lineage: Bacteria
Description: partial 16S ribosomal RNA
Rfam family: Bacterial small subunit ribosomal RNA
Source: RNAcentral
AGCGAACGCUGGCGGCAGGCCUAACACAUGCAAGUCGAACGAACCUUUCGGGGUUAGUGGCGGACGGGUGAGUAACACGUGGGAACGUGCCUUUAGGUUCGGAAUAACUCAGGGAAACUUGUGCUAAUACCGAAUGUGCCCUUCGGGGGAAAGAUUAAUCGCCUUUAGAGCGGCCCGCGUCUGAUUAGCUAGUUGGUUGAGGUAAUGGCUCACCAAGGCGACGAUCAGUAGCCGGUCUGAGAGGAUGAUCAGCCACAUUGGGACUGCGACACGGCCCAAACUCCUACGGGAGGCAGCAGUGGGGAAUCUUGCGCAAUGGGCGAAAGCCUGACGCAGCCAUGCCGCGUGAAUGAUGAAGGUCUUAGGAUUGUAAAAUUCUUUCACCGGGGACGAUAAUGACGGUACCCGGAGAAGAAGCCCCGGCUAACUUCGU